CGGAGGAGCAUGUGGUUUAAUUCGAUGAUACGCGAGGAACCUUACCUGGGCUUGAACGUGUGAUGCAAUACCGGGAAACCGGUAGUCCUUCGGGCGUCAUGCGAGGUGCUGCAUGGUUGUCGUCAGCUCGUGCCGUGAGGUGUUAGGUUAAGUCCUGUAACGAGCGCAACCCCUAUACUUAGUUACCAGCACGUAAUGGUGGGGACCCUAGGUAAACCGCCUGCGCAAGCAGAGAGGAAGGUGGGAUGACGUCAAAUCAGCACGGCCCUUACGUCCAGGGCCACACACGUGCUACAAUGGCCGAUACAGAGGGCAGCUACCUGGUGACAGGAUGCAAAUCUCGAAAGUCGGUCUCAGUUCGGAUCGGAGUCUGCAACUCGACUCCGUGAAGUUGGAUUCGCUAGUAAUCGCGCAUCAGCCAUGGCGCGGUGAAUACGUUCCCGGGCCUU
This 449-nucleotide ribosomal RNA is filed under the name uncultured Sphingobacteriales bacterium. RNAcentral's name for it is "bacterial SSU rRNA". It matches the Rfam family "Bacterial small subunit ribosomal RNA", at positions 930 to 1382 of the family's 1533-position model. The record is from RNAcentral. Lineage: Bacteria; Pseudomonadati; Bacteroidota; Sphingobacteriia; Sphingobacteriales.